GGAAUCUUCCGCAAUGGGCGAAAGCCUGACGGAGCGACGCCGCGUGAGCGAUGAAGGCCUUCGGGUUGUAAAGCUCUGUGGGGAGGGAAGAAUAAGCGUAGGCCAAUACCCUACGUGAUGACGGUACCUCCUUAGCAAGCACCGGCUAACUCCGUGCCAGCAGCCGCGGUAAGACAGAGGGUGCAAACGUUGUUCGGAUUCACUGGGCGUAAAGCGCGUGUAGGCGGCUUGGUAAGUCGGAUGUGAAAGCCCGCGGCUCAACCGUGGAAGCGCAUCCGAAACUACUUCGCUCGAGUACUGGAGAGGAAGAUGGAAUGCUUGGUGUAGAGGUGAAAUUCGUAGAUAUCAAGCAGAACACCUGCGGCGAAGGCGGUCUUCUGGACAGUUACUGACGCUGAGACGCGAAAGCGUGGGGAGCA
This 419-nucleotide ribosomal RNA is filed under the name uncultured bacterium. RNAcentral describes it as "bacterial SSU rRNA". It matches the Rfam family "Bacterial small subunit ribosomal RNA", at positions 358 to 770 of the family's 1533-position model. The record is from RNAcentral.